RNAcentral lists this transfer RNA (72 nucleotides) under Topsentia ophiraphidites. RNAcentral's name for it is "tRNA-Gln". It matches the Rfam family "tRNA". Rfam says of the family: Transfer RNA (tRNA) molecules are approximately 80 nucleotides in length. Their secondary structure includes four short double-helical elements and three loops (D, anti-codon, and T loops). Further hydrogen bonds mediate the characteristic L-shaped molecular structure. tRNAs have two regions of fundamental functional importance: the anti-codon, which is responsible for specific mRNA codon recognition, and the 3' end, to which the tRNAs corresponding amino acid is attached (by aminoacyl-tRNA synthetases). tRNAs cope with the degeneracy of the genetic code in two manners: having more than one tRNA (with a specific anti-codon) for a particular amino acid; and 'wobble' base-pairing, i.e. permitting non-standard base-pairing at the 3rd anti-codon position. Lineage: Eukaryota; Metazoa; Porifera; Demospongiae; Suberitida; Halichondriidae. The record is from RNAcentral.
UAGUGGUUAGCCAAAAUGGUAAGGCAUUAAGUUUUGAUCUUAAGAUUGUGGGUUCGAUUCCCGCACCUCUAA